This 465-nucleotide ribosomal RNA is filed under the name uncultured bacterium. RNAcentral describes it as "partial 16S ribosomal RNA". It matches the Rfam family "Bacterial small subunit ribosomal RNA", at positions 338 to 795 of the family's 1533-position model. The record is from RNAcentral.
CCUACGGGGAGCAGCAGUGGGGAAUAUUGCGCAAUGGGCGAAAGCCUGACGCAGCGACGCCGCGUGAGGGAUGAAGGUCUUCGGAUCGUAAACCUCUGUCAGCAGGGAAGAACGGUCACUGUGCUAAUCAGCAGUGAAUUGACGGUACCUGCAAAGGAAGCACCGGCUAACUCCGUGCCAGCAGCCGCGGUAAUACGGAGGGUGCGAGCGUUAAUCGGAAUUACUGGGCGUAAAGCGCUCGUAGGCGGUAUGUCAAGUCAAGGGUGAAAUCCCCGCGCUCAACGUGGGAACUGCCUUUGAAACUGGCAAACUGGAGUGUGUGAGAGGAUAGUGGAAUUCCAGGUGUAGGAGGGAAAGCCGUAGAUAUCUGGAGGAACAUCAGGGGCGAAGGCGACUAUCUGGCACAUAACUGACGCUGAGGAGCGAAAGCGUGGGUAGCAAACAGGAUUAGAUACCCUUGUAGUC